GGAUUAGAUACCCUGGUAGUCUAUGCCGUAAACGAUGGGUACUAGUCGGUGCGGGUAUUGACCCCUGCGCUGACGAAGCUAACGCAUUAAGUACCCCGCCUGGGGAGUACGGCCGCAAGGCUAAAACUCAAAGGAAUUGACGGGGGCCCGCACAAGCGGUGGAGCAUGUGGAUUAAUUCGACGCAACGCGCAGAACCUUACCUAGCCUUGACAUGUUAGCGUACGGGUCCCAAAAGACCCCGACCUUUUGGAACGCUUUCACAGGUGCUGCAUGGCUGUCGUCAGCUCGUGCCG
This 294-nucleotide ribosomal RNA is filed under the name uncultured bacterium. Its description in RNAcentral is "partial 16S ribosomal RNA". It matches the Rfam family "Bacterial small subunit ribosomal RNA", at positions 775 to 1067 of the family's 1533-position model. The record is from RNAcentral.